GACGAACGCUGGCGGCGUGCCUAAUACAUGCAAGUAGAACGCACAGUUUAUACCGUAGCUUGCUCCACCAUAGACUGUGAGUUGCGAACGGGUGAGUAACGCGUAGGUAACCUGCCUGGUAGCGGGGGAUAACUAUUGGAAACGAUAGCUAGUACCGCAUAAUAUUAAUUAUUGCAUGAUAAUUAAUUGAAAGGUGCAAUUGCACCACUACCAGAUGGACCUGCGUUGUAUUAGCUAGUAGGUGAGGUAACGGCUCACCUAGGCGACGAUACAUAGCCGACCUGAGAGGGUGAUCGGCCACACUGGGACUGAGACACGGCCCAGACUCCUACGGGAGGCAGCAGUAGGGAAUCUUCGGCAAUGGACGAAAGUCUGACCGAGCAACGCCGCGUGAGUGAAGAAGGUUUUCGGAUCGUAAAGCUCUGUUGUAAGAGAAGAACGGGCGUGAGAGUGGAAAGUUCACACUGUGACGGUAUCUUACCAGAAAGGGACGGCUAACUACGUG
Molecule: ribosomal RNA, 505 nt
Filed under: uncultured bacterium
Lineage: Bacteria
Description: partial 16S ribosomal RNA
Rfam family: Bacterial small subunit ribosomal RNA
Source: RNAcentral